CGGCGCUGAGGAUCGUGGCCCUGGAGCGGGGCGACAGCGGGGUCUACGGGGCUCGGAUCAAACUGCACCCAGCGCUGGUGGAGGAUCAGUUCUUCAACCUCUCCGUCUGCGGGGACCGAGCCAGCAGCUUUUCCUGGUGCAACACUGGAGGAGUAAUGGACCCGGUGUCUCCCAAAGUCCUGAGCCUGAUGCCUUCAGCCCACCCGGCCAGACGAGCCCCGGUGAGGUGCUGCCCGUCUCCCCAUCACUUGGGGACCACAGGGGAUGUCCGGCACAGCGAUGCUUCACCUCGCUGGGGGUGUCCCAGCCUGUCAAACCCCUUGUCACCGGUUCACAGGCAGGAGGAUUUGGCAGGAGGCAGCCCCUGCCUUGCAGAAGAGCCGGUGUCAUUCCUGGCAAGCACCUGCCAUGGAGCCCCGUCUCCAUCUGGAUGACCUUCGUGCCAUCGAGCCAUCUUGUUCUCCUUUUCCUCGGCUCUCAAAGGGACGGGCGGUUUUCCCCGUUAGCUGGAAAUUUCAACUCAGUGAUUUUCAUUUCCCCUCUCCCCUCAAGACGUGGGAGGAACUAGCAGAGUGGGCAGCGUGUCCAGCCCCUGCUUGCCUGUCCGCUCCCCUCGGGGGGACCCCAAGGGGCAUUUUUGGAGCAUUCACUGGCCACAAGCAGCCUGUGUCCCUCCCUCAGUUUCCCCAGCAUGUCGAGGAUCCUCGUUUGAAGGCACCCCGAGAUUAGAGCUGCAGUUAAUUGUCCCUUGGGUGCAGGUUAAUGAUUUUUGCUUGUAGGCGGGGAGCAGCAAGCACCGUCCCCACCGCUCCGCUCGGUCCCACUGCAGAGAGCAGCCCUGCUGCGGAGGCAGCUUUCCCCCCCCUCCCUGUUUUCAACCUCGAGUUUCUGGAGGUUUUAAAUAAAAAAUAAGCUUUC
This is a long non-coding RNA of Falco peregrinus (peregrine falcon), 918 nucleotides long. RefSeq lists it as uncharacterized. The transcript has 2 exons. Lineage: Eukaryota; Metazoa; Chordata; Aves; Falconiformes; Falconidae. The record is from RefSeq and is a predicted model, not a curated record.